CAUAAAGAUAGUGUAACUUUCUUGUAAUUUUAAAAAUAGUACUUUUUUAGACGUGUUUUCGGAAUUAAUUAUGAUCGAGUAAAAUUAUCAGUAUCGUGUUUUCGUUCUGGCAGAAUCUAGAUAAAGAUAUCAAUUUACCUAUAUCAAAAUUUCAGAUCCAUUGGUAUCUGUCGUGAAAAGUCGUGGUGGCCUAGUGGGUAAAAGACCAACCUCUCGAGUAUGAGGGCGCGGGUUCGAUCCCAGGUCAAGCAAGCAGCCCGACAGCCGGCUGUCGGUUGGUCGUUGAAAGGUUAAGAAAUCUUAAAUAUAGACUGUAACUACAAGCAAUGACGAACUGCAACUUAUUUGAAAUCAAAUAUAAUCAUCAUCAUCAUCAUCAGCCUAUAGCAGUCCACUGCUGGACAUAGGCCUCUCCAAGUGCACGCCACUGAGAUCGAUUUUCGGCUGCUCGCAUCCAGCUCCUGCCAGCCGUCUUGCGCAAGUCAUCACUCCACCGUGCCUGAGGACGUCCUACACUACGUUUGCCGAGUCGUGGUCUCCACUCUAGAACUCGUUUACCCCAACGGUUAUCGGUUCUUCGUCUAAUAUUCCUUACAUCGUCGAUCCCACAGUGCCUAAAGACAAAAGUCUUCAAAUAU
Molecule: long non-coding RNA, 638 nt
Organism: Helicoverpa armigera (cotton bollworm)
Lineage: Eukaryota; Metazoa; Arthropoda; Insecta; Lepidoptera; Noctuidae
Exons: 3
Source: RefSeq, a predicted model, not a curated record